UUAUUGUAUAUAAUAUAUGAAUAUUAAUUAAAAAUUGAUUUUAAUUUCAUUUUUAAUAAAAAUAUCCUCUUGUAUGUUAUCGCGCCCAUUACAGGACACAGACUGUGGAAGGUCCUGUCACAGGACCCGCCACAGGUGCGGUCACCUUGUUCAGUUUCGAGCAUAUUUUGACGUUCUUAUAGUUCUUACUCUUUUGCCCACAUGAAAAAUUGUGUUAGAAUGAACUGACUCUCGCUCUCAUAUAUAAUUUAGCACGUCUAUGUUACAAAAAAGUUUAAAUUUCUUGUUUUAAUCUGUGACAAGUUCAAUCAGCGAAUGUCGCGAUUUCACGAUUGUGUUUAUGCUGAACUUAGUAAGUUUUAGUGAUUUAAACUGGAAUAAUCAUGGAAUACAUGCAGAACGCCUUCACCCUUGCACCCAUCCGAGCAGAAGUACACACUCCUGCACAAUAUGAUUUUAUUAAGCCCGUAAAGCCAGACCGACUUAAGUGCCAAUGCGCCGUCUGCAAGAAGAGGACCAAUACAUUUUGUAAAGCUUGCAAUGUGGCAAUGUGUGUAUUCACUUGCUACGAGUCAUACCACAUUAAUUUUUAAUUUAAUUUUAGUCCGAAAAAAAAUACAGGGAUAAUUGGAAGGUGUUGAGGGAGGCCUUUUGCCAGCAGUGAGACAGUACAGGCUGUUAAUAAUAAUAAUAAUAGUCCGAAAACCUUCUACUGACACGACCAAAUUACAGUGUCAUGUACUGGGAUCCGUUAACAUACAUGUAUAAGUUGUAUCCAUACUAUAUAGCCUUCAUAGAGCAGAUAUGUUAAAUUUUUCACUAUGUUUAAUUACAUGGUUUUUGAUAUUUCUCUUCCAAACAUGUUAGCUUUUUUGUUGUUCUAUUUAAGUCCUAGUUCUAUGUAAAUCUUGAAUAAUUAAUAAUGAUAACUCUUCCAUCAACAUAAUUCUGCAAGAUCUUAGUCUUUAUGAGACAAUGUUUUUUGUACCAAAUUUGUCUCAUUUUUGAUACUUUCAUAAUCAGGAUUUGUUGAAUAUUGCAACGUGUCAUUAUUUAAACUAGCUUGACAAUAAGUUAAAAUUAUUGUAAACAAAAAAUGCUUUGUCCCUGACGCCAGCAAUGUAUUAUUAACUAGCGAGAUAUAAGACCCACUAAAGUGACUUUUGAAGAGGUGCUUUUUUGGUCCCAAGUUUAAAAACAAGUGUACUGAAAAAAAAAUGUAUAGAACAUAUGCCAUUUGUUUUUUAACUGUAUUAUAUAUGUUAGAGUGUAUAAAAAAAAUAAAAUAUUACAUCCA
Molecule: long non-coding RNA, 1297 nt
Organism: Leptidea sinapis
Lineage: Eukaryota; Metazoa; Arthropoda; Insecta; Lepidoptera; Pieridae
Exons: 2
Source: RefSeq, a predicted model, not a curated record